CUCUGAACAUCAGUUUCUUCACUCCCAAAUGGCGGUAAUCCUGCCCAGCUCAUCCUUCUCCUGGAGUUGCCCAGGAGAUUGAAUGGAAUGAGACCUUGUCCAUUUCUUCUUGGCCCAUUAUCGGCCCUCAACUAAGGUUGAGGGCAACCCUCUGCCCCAGACAUCCCUGGGAACUCCUGUCAAACACAUGCACCCUUCACCACUGGCACCUACUCCAAGCCACCAGGCCUUAAAACAGCAGCAAACUAGGAACCCUUGGGAUGAGCAAGAGCGCCGGACUUAAUUUAUAGCCUUUCCUGUGUCCACACAGGAAGACAAAUGUGCUGGGCAGAGGACAGCAGAUGCCAUUACCAGAUCAUUACUUAGCAAGUUGCUUGGUCUUGGCAGGAAAUGGUUCAUCAUUUUCAGAUGAGUAGAGAGCUGCAGAACCUUGUAACUGUCCUCCCUCAUUCUGCACCCCUGUCGCAGACGCAAUGGUCCUUGCCAAAGCUUUCCCUCCCACGGUGCCUUAUCGAGAUAAGUGACUGGGGAUGUGGGAUGCCACAUGAUCCACUGAAUGCAAGAGCCCUGAACUCAGAAGGGGGCUGGGGUCAAAGGCUUCCAGGGCUGGAGAGUGAGGCCGGAAACCCCAAAAGAUAAAUGAGGACUUCUGGAACAAGAUGAGAAGAUGAAUUAAACUGUUUACUUCGAGCAUGCACAUAAUGUUCCAGAAAAAUCCACUUUGGCUGCCAAAGUAGCCCUUCUGGAAUUUAUGAAGACCCUUGCCAGGGCCCUCACACUGGGGCUUAGUGCUCAGGUCUUGCAUCUGUCUUUUUUUUUUUUUUUUUUGAGACGGAGUUUCGCUCUUAUCACCCAGGCUGGAGUGCAAUGGCGUGAUCUCAGCUCACUGCAACCUCUGCCUCCCAGGUUCAAGCAAUUCUCUUGCCUCAGCCUCCCGAAUAGCUGGGACUACAGGUACCUGCCACCAUGUCCUGCUAAUUUUUGUAUUUUCAGUAGAGACAGGGUCACCAUGUUGACCAGACUAGUCUUGAACUCCUGACUUCAGGUGAUCCCGCUGCCUCGGCUUCCCAAAAUGUUAGGAUUACAGGUGUGAGCCACUGCCCCCGGCCGCAUGUGCUGUUUUACAGCAAUCCAGUGGGGCAAGGUCACCAAGCUCACAAAGGAAGAACCUGAGGCUCAGGAAGCAAAAGUUAUUGCCCAAAUUAAACAUAGUAAGAAGCUGAUUUGAUUCCAAACCAAUAUCUGUUUAAUUUCAAAGCUCAGGCUGGCUCUAUUUCACCAUCCUGUGUCCCUCAGCAGGGUGACAGGUCACCAUGAACAGGACAGCCACUGGCCAGCAGUGUCUCAAUCACUGAUUGUCCACUGUGCUUAAGCACCCACAGGGCUCUUGGUGCUGAAUAGAUGGUGGAUUUUUGGCUUUUUUGUCUGUCCCAAAUCUUUAGAAGCCUGUUGUCUGUGGUGACAGUGAUUUCAGAUUGGCUAAGUUUGACAAGCAAUGAGCAACAAUACAUCUGUUGUUAGAGGUGUUGGUUAUUCCACGUGCCAGGAAGACAGAGAGAACGUCUCAACCAAAUUGUCAAGGCAAGAGUCUUUCAGGAAAAGGAUAUGGCUAAGAAUUCUAAAAGGGGUGGGGGUUGGUUUAACAAGAAGGAGCAGGGAAAGGUGUCUACCUUGAAUCUCCAAUCUGAAAGGUUGGUAUAGGCAUAAGAUGUCAAGAAAAUUAGCAGAAAACAUCGUGUUGAGCCCUCAAGAUUUGCUUGGAGCGGAGGAGACCACACUCCUGCAGCUGGGUGGUCAGAAACUCAGUCAUUUGCCCUGCAGAAUUUUCUACACUGUGGAUUUGCCUGACUACACCCUGUGGUGCUGUUCCUCUAUCUUGUUCUGGGAUUUCAAUGGAUUGAAUGAGACCCAGCCACGCCGGAGAGGGCAAUCUGCGUUACUCACUUUACCAACUUGGAUGUGAAUCUCACGGAGAGGCUCCCCCACAGACAUACCCAGAAUACUAUUUGACCAAAUGUCUGGAUAUCCUGUGGCUCAGUCAAGUUGUUACAUAAAAUUAACCAUCCCUACUGGUAUGCACAGAAACAUUAGUUGGAGCACGGCAGUUUGUGUUCAUUCACAGCACCCUGGGUACAUAAAUAAAUCCACAGCCAAGCAAAGGAUUGCGCCGAGGCUGUAGCAAAGCAAGCAGGAGGGCGCGGCCCAGGAGAUGUGAGCUCCCAUACUGCUCGCAGCACUGGGACCCAGCAUCCCCCUCAGCAAUAGCCCAGAAUACACAGGGCAUCAAGAGCCCUGCCCUGCAAAGGGAGGGCAAACCUCCCAUUCCUGGUGCUUUAAGUGGACCCAAUCCCUGGCUGGAACUUGAAGGCAGGCCACAGAAACAGACUAUUUCCGCCCUUUACUACUCGUACUUGUCUCAGCCCAUCUGCUCACACCUUAUCCUUCGGGUUCCUAACCCCACUAUCUGUACCCAGGUCUUAUAUUAGCAUUUUCCCCCUGGCCACUCAACUUAAUGCAUGUUUAGAUUCACUUUUGGGGCUUCAUGAAGUUCCGACUUUCUUUGGGCACUGGACACUGCAUCGUGGAAUCCCUACAUUCUUUGCAAAAACUUCCUUACUCCAACCCACGUCGCAAGGACCUCCCACUCAUGACUAUGCAGAGUUGGGGAUUUGGCCUAACCCAGCAGGCUGGCUUCUCCUGCAGAUGCGCCAGGCAUCCCGUCACAUAAUCAGCAUGCCUGCUUCUGGAGAGGGACCACUCAUUGUGUUGGGCUCCCUUGCGAGCUCAGCACUGAGAUGGUCCUAGGAGUUUCUAUCCCCACAUUGCACCUGGAAAUCUCAUGGUCCUUGACAGCCACAGGUUUCCAGUGGCAGCUCAUGAGGCCUCCAGAUAGGUGGCAGGGACCGAAAUACUUCACAGCUUUUCCACGGACAAAGAUCAGCAAUUUGUUUUUAAAAUAAAAAGUCAAUGUUAAAGUGAAGUUGGCAUCAGGUAAUUGAGAUGCUAUCAGGAUCCUGAGUGGGGACUGAACACAUGCAACCACACAGUGUAGUAUUUUUAGGCAAUUGCUCACUCAUUUGAGAAAACACAGUGGGUAAAACUGUUUCCCUUGUGGUGACUGUUGGACUUCCUGCAUUUUCAGAGGUUUUCUGUAUUUUCAUAGGAGUCCCAUUUCCUUUUAAGAACCAGAUUGCCAAUGCCCCAUUAGUUAGCUUUCCACUCCAACAGGCCGCUUGCUCUUUUGCCUUUCCCUCCCCUUCUCUUUUAAACCAAUUAAUUAAAAAGCUUUACAAAAACAAUACAUGCUAACGUGAAAAAUUAAAGCAGUAUAGAAAACUACAACACAAAAAGGAAAAGCUCCUCUGCCCUCAGCUCCUACACUCCUCAGAGGUGGCCAUCAUGAACAUUGGCUUCUUUCUAGAACUUUUCCUGCAUAGACAAUCAGAGAAACAUAGAUUGAUAGACUGAUUUAUGCAAAGAUGGCUGAAUAAUGAUGUUUAAUGCUCUGUUACUUGCUUUUUCCUACUUAAUUUAUGCUAGACAUGAUUUCACAGCAGUUGUCAAGGAGGUCUAUCACCCUUUUCAACAUUUGCAUUUUUUCAAUUAUAAAUAAAAAAUUAAUUAAUUAAGAAACACUUGCAUUUGGUUCUACUGUAGAAGUGUACCAUCAUUUGUUUAACCAAUAUUCCACAGAUUGACUUGUAGAUUACUUCAGAGGUCUUAAUAUUAAAUGUUCCAGUAAAUAUCCUCAGGCAUGUGUUUUUGAAGAACAGGGCUAGUGUAUCAACAGGAGAUUGUUUUAUAGGUCUUUAUAAAAUUAAACUGUUUUCACUGGUAUAAAAAUUUAAUAAUUGUCAAAUAAAA
RNAcentral lists this long non-coding RNA (3864 nucleotides) under Homo sapiens (human). RNAcentral describes it as "HSALNT0357560". The record is from RNAcentral. Lineage: Eukaryota; Metazoa; Chordata; Mammalia; Primates; Hominidae.